This 420-nucleotide ribosomal RNA is filed under the name uncultured Curtobacterium sp. Its description in RNAcentral is "bacterial SSU rRNA". It matches the Rfam family "Bacterial small subunit ribosomal RNA", at positions 358 to 790 of the family's 1533-position model. Lineage: Bacteria; Bacillati; Actinomycetota; Actinomycetes; Micrococcales; Microbacteriaceae. The record is from RNAcentral.
GGAAUAUUGCACAAUGGGCGAAAGCCUGAUGCAGCAACGCCGCGUGAGGGAUGACGGCCUUCGGGUUGUAAACCUCUUUUAGUAGGGAAGAAGCGAAAGUGACGGUACCUGCAGAAAAAGCACCGGCUAACUACGUGCCAGCAGCCGCGGUAAUACGUAGGGUGCAAGCGUUGUCCGGAAUUAUUGGGCGUAAAGAGCUCGUAGGCGGUUUGUCGCGUCUGCUGUGAAAUCCCGAGGCUCAACCUCGGGCUUGCAGUGGGUACGGGCAGACUAGAGUGCGGUAGGGGAGAUUGGAAUUCCUGGUGUAGCGGUGGAAUGCGCAGAUAUCAGGAGGAACACCGAUGGCGAAGGCAGAUCUCUGGGCCGUAACUGACGCUGAGGAGCGAAAGCAUGGGGAGCGAACAGGAUUAGAUACCCUAG